GACGAACGCUGGCGGCGUGCUUAACACAUGCAAGUCGAACGGGAAGGCCCUGCUUUUGUGGGUUGCUCGAUUGGCGAACGGGUGAGUAACACGUGAGUAACCUGCCCUUGACUUUGGGAUAACUUCAGGAAACUGGGGCUAAUACCGGAUAGGAGCUCCUGCUGCAUGGUGGGGGUUGGAAAGUUUCGGCGGUUGGGGAUGGACUCGCGGCUUAUCAGCUUGUUUGUGGGGUAGUGGCUUACCAAGGCUUUGACGGGUAGCCGGCCUUGGAGGGUGAACGGGCUCCAUGCGACUACGGGAGGGACCAGUAGCGUACGGGGGGCAACGGUCGGGAACCUUACGCAAUGGGGCGGAGUCUGAGACGACGACCUCCGGGUCGGGAAGACCGGCUUCGGGUUAUAAACCGCUUUCGCCUGUGACGAAGCGUGAGUGACGGUAAUGGGUAAAGAAGCACCGGCUAACUACGUG
RNAcentral lists this ribosomal RNA (468 nucleotides) under uncultured bacterium. RNAcentral's name for it is "partial 16S ribosomal RNA". It matches the Rfam family "Bacterial small subunit ribosomal RNA", at positions 28 to 507 of the family's 1533-position model. The record is from RNAcentral.